This 322-nucleotide ribosomal RNA is filed under the name uncultured eukaryote. Its description in RNAcentral is "partial 18S ribosomal RNA". It matches the Rfam family "Eukaryotic small subunit ribosomal RNA", at positions 1470 to 1796 of the family's 1831-position model. The record is from RNAcentral.
CCCUUAGAUGUUCUGGGCCGCACGCGUGCUACACUGAGUGGAUCAGCGGGUCAGGUUGCGCGAAAGUGUUUCCUAAUCUUUAAAUCCGCUCGUGAUGGGGAUUGACGGUUGCAAUUUUCCGUCAUGAACGAGGAAUACCUUGUAAGCGCGGGUCAUCAUCCCGCGCUGAAUACGUCCCUGCCCUUUGUACACACCGCCCGUCGCUCCUACCGAUUGAGUGGUCCGGUGAGGCUUUGGGAUCUGAGCGGAAAGAGCGUUUCGCUGCUUCUGCCCGGAAAACUCAGUCGAACCUUAUCAUUUAGAGGAAGGAGAAGUCGUAACA